GCACUCUUCACAGAGAACCACAGGAUGUCUACAGCAAACUGUUCAGAGCUGGAUCUGGAGUUGGGAGACUUGCUACAGGAGUUUAAUGAUGUUGUGAAGGAGUUGAGCACACCUUACGCCUCUGAACAUCUGCGGGGAGAUGUGAAGAGACACACAGCACUGACUGAUGGAGACGACUCAGACUACUGCAGCGAAGCUUCGCUGGUAAACAGCUUGAAUGCCAGUCAAGAGGAGCUCAACAUCCCAAGCAUGAGUACAGCCCCAAAAGCCAGGCUCGGGGACACCGGCGACCUACAGAGCUUCAUUGAAAACCUGGAUAGAGAGCUUGCAGAGAUGUGAGAUGACAGGACACACGUGAUCAGAGAGAACGCUGAGCACCUGAAGAGCUGGCAUUUAGCAAAGCGCAAUCUCUGCUUCCACACAUAGAAAUUAGGCUGAAGAAAAACAGCUUGAAGGCUUCAUUUUUUCCCCUUCACUAAGGAACGAGAGCUCACGGUGACUUUUAAUUGGUCAAGACUGUUUGGAAGAAUUACCAAGUUUCUCAGAAGAUGUUUUAUUUUAGUAAAUACUUACUAAAUUUAUAUGAAAAGCACAAUGCCUUGUAAGUUAUGACGAUUAAUGUUAAUACCUAUUUUUCACUAUAUAUAUUGUAAAAAUAUCAGUGUUACCAGGUUCAGUGUAAUGUGUAAUAUUAAUUUAACCUUGUAAAGAAUUUUUAAUAAUAAAAGUUUUUG
This 734-nucleotide long non-coding RNA is filed under the name Sinocyclocheilus anshuiensis. RNAcentral's name for it is "lncRNA (ENSSANG00000036678.1)". The record is from RNAcentral. Lineage: Eukaryota; Metazoa; Chordata; Actinopteri; Cypriniformes; Cyprinidae.